Molecule: long non-coding RNA, 969 nt
Organism: Pseudomyrmex gracilis
Lineage: Eukaryota; Metazoa; Arthropoda; Insecta; Hymenoptera; Formicidae
Exons: 2
Source: RefSeq, a predicted model, not a curated record
ACUUGUUUGACUGCGUUCAAAAAGAUAACAAGUGUGUGCUUUUGUACGAGCGUGCAUGAUUCGUCUAUGCUUGUAAAAUCGAAGCAUGGUCUUUCUUGUAAGCCUCUUCGGUAUUUUCACGAUUCUGGCAUAAUCCUUUUGUGAACAGCGAACCUGUGAAAGGCAUUAAGAAUAAAGAAAGCAGUAAGAACGAGACUGUCGCAAAUCUCUUUCGUCCAUGAGUUCCCGUUCUUUUCCUGACAAUAAAGUAUAGUUAUCCCGUUUUCAAGUGUUGAAAUAAACAAGGGAUUUUACUUACACUAUACCAUAUACUAUCAUUAUGAAUGAAAAACAAGGUCUCUAUAAGGUAAUUCCCCGAUCUGUUGCGGAGAUGCGCAGUACCAGGAGCAGACAACUGUUAUUUUUUGAUAACAGAUCUGCUGAACAGAUUUGAAGUGGUAUCGUAACCAAAACAAUUAUUCAAGUUUCCAUUCCGUUUAUUUGUAAGAAAACUAAACUAAAACUAAACAUAGAAAUGGAAUCGAACAAGAAAGCGCUCAUUGUGGUGGAAGAUGGUGCGAUCUAUAAAGUAACUUGCGAAAGUUACGAGGAAAAGAGACAAUUAUAUAUAGGUGAGUGCUUUCUCAAUCAUCCUUAUUCCUGUGGAUUGUUUGUUUCUCGGCUUGCUUAUAAUCUUCAAGAUCUUUUAUUUUCUCUUUUAGACAAGACUUACUGUGAUAUAGUUUUUUUAACUUGACAGGCAGGAGUAAAACCUAUAAAUUUCAUCAAUGAGAAUAUGCAAGUUCAGGUUUGUCAUGUUUUUAUUUGAAUUAAAUGUUUUGAGGUAGAGUGUGGGUGGCCUAACAAUGCGAUGGUCAUUAAUUUCCAUGCUUAAUGUUUUGCAAGUAAUUAAACAGAAGAGCAUUGACGCGAAAGAGAACCUCGAUUUCAAAAAGAGAAGAAUAGAAUAUGCAGAGGCAGGUGAACAAG